UACGUAGGGGGCCAGCGUUGCUCGGAAUUACUGGGCGUAAAGGGUUCGUAGGCGGUGCGGCAAGUCGAAAGUGAAAUCUCUGGGCUCAACUCAGAGGCUGCUUCCGAAACUGCCGUGCUUGAGUGCGGGAGAGGCGAGUGGAAUUACAGGUGUAGCGGUGAAAUGCGUAGAUAUCUGUAGGAACACCCGUGGCGAAGGCGGCUCGCUGGACCGCAACUGACGCUGAGGAACGAAAGCUAGGGGAGCAAACAGG
Molecule: ribosomal RNA, 253 nt
Filed under: uncultured bacterium
Lineage: Bacteria
Description: partial 16S ribosomal RNA
Rfam family: Bacterial small subunit ribosomal RNA
Source: RNAcentral